AGUGAACGCUGGCGGUAGGCCUAACACAUGCAAGUCGAACGGCAGCACAGUAAGAGCUUGCUCUUACGGGUGGCGAGUGGCGGACGGGUGAGGAAUACAUCGGAAUCUACUUUUUCGUGGGGGAUAACGUAGGGAAACUUACGCUAAUACCGCAUACGACCUACGGGUGAAAGCAGGGGAUCUUCGGACCUUGCGCGAUUGAAUGAGCCGAUGUCGGAUUAGCUAGUUAGCGGGGUAAAGGCCCACCAAGGCGACGAUCCGUAGCUGGUCUGAGAGGAUGAUCAGCCACACUGGAACUGAGACACGGUCCAGACUCCUACGGGAGGCAGCAGUGGGGAAUAUUGGACAAUGGGCGCAAGCCUGAUCCAGCCAUACCGCGUGGGUGAAGAAGGCCUUCGGGUUGUAAAGCCCUUUUGUUGGGAAAGAAAAGCAGCAGGUUAAUACCCCGCUGUUCUGGCGGUACCCAAAGAAUAAGCACCGGCUAACUUCGUG
RNAcentral lists this ribosomal RNA (492 nucleotides) under uncultured bacterium. RNAcentral describes it as "partial 16S ribosomal RNA". It matches the Rfam family "Bacterial small subunit ribosomal RNA", at positions 29 to 507 of the family's 1533-position model. The record is from RNAcentral.